UGGGAUAGCCCUAGGCCAAGGUAUCCCUGACAAUCGAGUAUGAGAAUGAUUUUGGCACGAGCCAAGCUUUUCAAGAAAUCAUAAGCCUCGUUGUUUAUUUGGGUGAAAUGAAUCUAUUUUAUCUUAUUAAAAUGAGUUCGAAAUGUUGUGAAUCAUUUUUAUGCUAAUCUAUAUUUUCUGUCUCCAUUUACUCAGCUUUAGAUAUUUUAGAUGAUAUUUGUUUACUCACUGGGAUUAUAUAAUCUCAUCACUCUCCUUUCCACCCAUUUCAGGCUCAAGAUAGUCGGUAGAUAGCUCAUUUCGUCGAGGGCUAUAGUUGGACUUGCUUCCUCAAAAACUGUAGGUUCACAACCUUCAUUACUUUUAGUCAUUCAGGGACCCACAUGUCAUUGUUAAAUGUUUUGAAUACCUGGCUACGUGUGCUACUGCAUGUAGGAAUUUAUUUUGCUUUUACCCUGUAAAAAU
RNAcentral lists this long non-coding RNA (465 nucleotides) under Theobroma cacao (cacao). RNAcentral's name for it is "long non-coding RNA (TCAC_LNC003805)". The record is from RNAcentral. Lineage: Eukaryota; Viridiplantae; Streptophyta; Magnoliopsida; Malvales; Malvaceae.